UACGGAGGGGGCUAGCGUUGUUCGGAAUUACUGGGCGUAAAGCGCACGUAGGCGGCUUUGUAAGUUAGAGGUGAAAGCCCGGGGCUCAACCCCGGAAUUGCCUUUAAGACUGCAUCGCUUGAACGUCGGAGAGGUGAGUGGAAUUCCGAGUGUAGAGGUGAAAUUCGUAGAUAUUCGGAAGAACACCAGUGGCGAAGGCGGCUCACUGGUCCAUUACUGACGCUGAGGUGCGAAAGCGUGGGGAGCAAGCAGG
This 253-nucleotide ribosomal RNA is filed under the name uncultured bacterium. Its description in RNAcentral is "partial 16S ribosomal RNA". It matches the Rfam family "Bacterial small subunit ribosomal RNA", at positions 524 to 776 of the family's 1533-position model. The record is from RNAcentral.